Mus musculus (house mouse) is the source of this 3553-nucleotide long non-coding RNA. RefSeq annotates it as predicted gene, 31829. The record is from RefSeq and is a predicted model, not a curated record. The transcript is spliced from 3 exons. NCBI's taxonomy places the organism in Eukaryota, Metazoa, Chordata, Mammalia, Rodentia, Muridae.
AUCUUUACUGACGUGCCAGCUCCUGUCUGCCCACGAGUACGACUGUUAGGUUGUAUGGUUCUUUCCUGAUUGAGUUUCAGCAUCCUUUUCUAUAUUUUAGCAGAUGUAAAACCCCAGGUUCAAUCCUCAGCAACAAAAUAAAUUUAAACAGACCCAGGAGCCAUAAGGAAAACCUAAGCAGACGUCCGGGCUCCCCUCACAGUCCCUGGAUUCAAGAGAUAGAAACUCCUCAUAGACUUCUCCUAAGCAGGGUCUUCUGAGGAGGGUGGGCAUCACGGGUGCCUCUUGGAUGCCCAGGGAGGUGAGUCCUGCCUGGUUAGAGUCUGCAUAGAGACCCGUCCACUGAGCAUUGUACUCAGUGGUGCCUAGAUUUCCUUGAUAUCUACAGUAUGCAAGACUCCACACUACUUGCUGGUAGCAUAGAACCCUUGACAACUGCUUCUCUGAAAAAGGACUUGUCAUCUGUCCCAGAAGGCAACUGAAAGUGGGCAGAGGCCUGAGCUCUCUGCCUGCAUUGUGCAUCUAUCUGCUUUGUCUCUCAGCUUCAGGCAACAAUCCCUCUGAACUCUUCAGAUGGGCGCACUGAUCUCAUAAGGAGUGUCUGUCUAAAGCGGCAGGCUCCUCACCCACCUCAGCCCCUUUGAAACUGACGAUUCCACAACCAGGGAAAUGGGGUGUUUUAUGUCAGCUGCCUGGGAGUCUCCAGGCAUUGUCCUGAGCCUGCAGCCAUCUUGGAUUCAUCAACUUCAGGGCUUCAUUGACAGAUACAUGGGAGCAGAGUUGUCCUCACAAACAUCAAGGACAUCCUUCUUCACUCUGCAGCUUGGGAACUCCGUGAUCAACUGGACCACUUGGUAACCAAGGAUCCUCAGGAAGGCUCCCAGCAGUACAGAUGAAAUUAAAAAUUUUUCCAGAGAAUAUGGAUUAUAAAAAUGCUUCAAAGGUCUCAGAGGUGGAUGAAACUAUAGAAAAAGACCUCCGAACCUGCUCUUCCCUCAUCACACACAUCAAGGGGAUCCCGGCAGGUGUGAUCUCUGGCUUUGUCUGUCAGCUGGAGGAAGAGGCCCACCUGGUAAGGCUGUCUUUACAGAGGCAAAGAUGACCAGGUGCAGUGACCAGCAGCUGUCAACUCCGGUCUCACCUCUGUACCUCCCCCCUUCAUACGGCCGCCUGUGGUGACAUGAGCGGAUGAUGGCAAGAUGUCCACAGAAGACAAAGUCACUCUCCAGUCAAGCAGUGACACAGAGAGGAGAGACAGGACAGGAGGCAUGGGCUAUGUGUCUGCUUCUCAGCUUCACAGGACCUGCAAUCAUCCAGGGGACACACGCCUGGGUGCGUGUUUCCAGAGAGGUUUAACUGAGGACAGAAGACGUGAGUGGCGCCAUCUCUUGGGCUGUGGUCCUGAGGAUGAACUGUAAAGAAGACAGCUAAGCAUAGCAUUCAUCGCCCUUUGCUUCCUGACUGGGGUGCAGUGUGGCCGGUCACCUGUGACUCUUGUCACCAUGCUUUCCCUACAACAAUGGAUGCUACACCCUGAAACUGGGAGCCAAAGUAAACCCUCCUUCCCUUGACUUGCUUUUUGUUGACUAUAUGGUCACAGUAAUGAGAGGCACCAUUAAAGCCAGCCCUGCAUCUCAAGAUGGCUUCCCGACCGCUUGGGCUCUUGGCUCUGCUCUCUCUGCCGCCUUUCCUUUACCGGAAGGGUUGUGGCACAGCUGUUUCCCCAGACAAAACAUGAACAUCAGCAUUGUGCAGCAAAGAUUCCUGUGCUGGACCUACAACGAGACAUUUCAGUGCUAGCUAGAUCUGUGGUUGUAGUAACAGUCUGCUAGUGCUCUCUCUUAGAAGGAGGGAACUCUUCUGACACUCCGCCCACCAUCACCUUCCAGCUUCAUCUGGCCUGGGUCGGAAUGUGUGUGUGUGUGUGCAUGUAAAUACUUGCAUAUGUGUGUGUACAUGUGUGUGUGUGUGCAUGUGUGUGAGUCUGUGCAUGUAUGUUUGUGAAUACGUGUAUGUGUAUGAGAGUGUGUGGUGUGUAUGAGUGUGUAUGUGCAUGUAUGUGUGUGGGUAUGUGUGCAUGUAUGUGUGUUAGAGUACAUAUGAAGUAGAAAUCAACCUGAUCAGUGCUCUGGUGGUGCAGCCACGGUGAGACCUUCUCCAUGGGUUCUGAGCCUAUCCAUACCCACAUUAAUAACCCCAAUAAACUCUCUGGUUCACUGAGCUGGGCUGGGGUGGAAUCAAGCCUUGGUCUCUCGGAGCCCUGUGUAGGGUGAAAAACAUUGCUUUACAUCUGCCAAGGGAAAGCAGCAGCCAUAAGCAAUGGCCCGGGUGUGCAGUCAAGGAGCCUUGACAGUCUGCUCUACCUAGUCUACAUUCGGGUCCGAAGGCCUCCUGGCGUUUGAAAUAUUUCUGCCAUUUCAUUUUAAGCUGGCUCAUUUCCUUUAUAAUUUCUAUAGGUUUCCUGUCAUCAAUUAUAUGCUGGCAUUUCUAAUUGUCAAAGACCUUAUUGUCCAUCAAAAGUCACAUAAAAAACAGCCCCUAAUAUCCUUAAAAGUCCUCUCACCUGCUGGGUAGUGGUGGCGCACGCCUUUAAUCCUAGCACUCAGCAGGCAGAGGCAGGUGGGUUUCUGAGUUCGAGGCCAGCCUGGUCUACAGAGUUCCAGGACUGCCAGGGCUACACAGAGAAACCCUGUCUUGAAAAACCAAAAAUAAACAAAUAAAAAAAUGUCCUCUUAUCCAAGGGCUGGGAGAGAGCUCCACUGGUGGAGCACUUGCCUAGAAUUCACAAGGACCUGCGUUAAAUCGCUGGCAUUGCACAAAAUGGGCAUAGAGGAUUAUGCCUGCCACCCCAGCACUUGGGAGGCAGAGGAAGGAGGACCUGAAGUUUAAGGUCUCCUUGGCUGUGCAGAAUGUUUGAGGCUAGCCUGGGCUACAUAAAACACUGUCAAGAACAGAAAAGAAGAGAGGAUGUGGGGAGGGCGGAGGAAGAGGAUAAGAAGGGAGAUGAGAAAGACUGUCUUGGCUAACUGGGAAGGUCUACAAAGAAACUUCUCAGUCCUCCAAAAGGGUCUUACAGCCCCGGGACUUCAUCUUGCCUGACAACCGUGUUUUACCUGUGUAAACCAGGGGGCACAGUAAAGAAACUGCCUACAAGACUGCUCCAUGGUGUGGUUGAGUGAAAGAUUUUUGUUGUAGGUAAAACAGAGAAAGCAUCCAGAGGCAGUGGGAAGAGUCCAGAGCAGGGAGAAAAGAAAGCAUGCAGGAGGUGGCCAGGGCUUGCCGUCAGAGGGGGAGAAUAGCAAGAGGUAGAGGGAACCGUGAGACCAGCGUGUAGCCAGGGGAGCGGGCAGAGGGUAUGAAGAGAGCAGGAAGCUGGGGUGUGAGGGUCAGAAUGCUGGGGGUCUUGGAAAUGUCUAACUGGCACACACAUGUAAGGGCUGAGUGAGCCUGGAGGCCAUCCCCGGAAUUGAAAUGUCCCUUCUGCCAGACAUAAGGGAAGUGACUCCUUUCUGCAGACAUUCCUGAGGAAUGCCGGCUUUUAUUUAUGUGCUAG